Molecule: ribosomal RNA, 235 nt
Filed under: uncultured prokaryote
Description: partial 16S ribosomal RNA
Rfam family: Bacterial small subunit ribosomal RNA
Source: RNAcentral
UACGAAGGGGGCUAGCGUUGCUCGGAAUCACUGGGCGUAAAGCGCACGUAGGCGGACUCUUAAGUCGGUGGUGAAAUCCUGGAGCUCAACUCCAGAACUGCCUUCGAUACUGAGAGUCUCGAGUCCGGGAGAGGUGAGUGGAACUCCGAGUGUAGAGGUGAAAUUCGUAGAUAUUCGGAAGAACACCAGUGGCGAAGGCGACUCACUGGCCCGAUACUGACGCUGAGGCGCGAAA